Molecule: long non-coding RNA, 4616 nt
Filed under: Citrus x clementina
Lineage: Eukaryota; Viridiplantae; Streptophyta; Magnoliopsida; Sapindales; Rutaceae
Description: Citrus clementina (C. clementina) long non-coding RNA (CCLE_LNC001985)
Source: RNAcentral
CCAAACAAAAAAAUUAUUAUAAAAGGAUAGUAUUGUAAAGGUAAGCCCAAAAAAAAUAAAAAGUAACAAUAGGUGUAUCAAUACUUUAACGGUAGGGAUGUUUCGAGUCAUUUUUAAAAAUACAGGGGCUAAAUGGAUACUAAUCUUAAAAUAGAGAGACUAAAUGAGCUUUUACCCCCUAUAACUUAUAAAUAUCAUGUGAAAGUAGUAUUUAUUAACCACAUAAAUGCAAUGACAAUUAUAAGUUAGAAUUCAAACAUUGAAAUUUCUAACAUUGUUAAUUACACGUUGAUUAUAAUAGCAGUGGUUGUCUUUGGUCCAAGAAUUAAAAAUAUAAAAUGUAGUUGAGUUUUCGGUCCAGUAAAAUGACGAUAAAGUUGCAUUGAACUUUUUUACUUUUAGUCGCAUUGAAAAGGAACAACAUCAACUAUAUAAUUUUCAUUAUUUAAAAGCUAUAUAUAAUGUAAUUUUUCAGGUAUUAUCUUGCUCUUUAUAAUCCAAUAAUUCUGUUUUGGGCCCUAGUAUUUUUACUAUUUGAUCUAUAGUUUGAAAAAGAUAGGCUAAAAUAUCUUAUGUUAAAAAUAAAUAAAUAUUUUCUGCGUAUUGAUCUAUCUCACCAACUAACCAAUGAAUGCUACAUUGUUUGUGAUUAUGUUUUGGGAUAAAAAAUUUAGAAUGUGUAGCACUAUUUUUAAAUAUUCGCAAUGAGACUUCCCAAUCUUAGUGCGUGGCCUAUAAUUAAGUUAUUGUCAUAUAUGCAUAUUUACUUUUUUCUAAUUAGUUAAUAGAUGAAUAUGGUGACAAUUUAAUAAGAUUGAGGAAAAUUAUUUUGUGCUCUUCUUGUCUAUUCACUCAUUGCCAUGAUAUACUUUAAUCAAUUAUAAUAAUAUGUAUAAACACGUGUAAAUAGUAAAUAUAUAAAGAGUAAUGGUCUGAAAACACCAAAAACCUUCUCUAAAAAUUGUGAUAUACAUGGAGAUCUUAAGUACGCCAUCUCCCUUACCCAACAGAUAUCAAUUGAAAGCAUUGGACAAUUAUUUACAUUCUGGCCUGUCAAGAUGUAGUUUUUGUGCUUUGAUCCUCGUAAGUUCUAUUUAUUUUCAUUAUGGCUCUAGCUCUAGUUUUUAUGACUACGACUUGGCCUUUAUAAAUUUUGUUUCUUCUCAUUAUGACUACACAAUUUCUCAAGUGAAUCAAUAACAUACUAAAUUAAUUAAUUAAUUAAAUACACACAUAAUGUAAUAGAAAGUGCCCAAACAGGCCAUUUGCCAACGAGAAAAAACCCAAAGAAAUGUCAUUUUUUUCUUGUUUUCAUUGUGAUAGGGGUUGCAUUAAGCUCAGUUCAAUUAUAAACAGAUGCACUCAAAAUGAUUGUCAAACAAUCAGUCACUCAAUCUGUCAUUUCCCAAUUAUUGAAAGGAUGUGAAGAGACUGAGAGAGAGUAUGCGUGUGUCACUCUCUAGCUCUAUCUAUGUGAAAGAUCAACUACAAUGAUAAUUAAUUUCCCAAAAUGAGAAUGAAUGAUAAGUAAUGCAUGCCGACAUAUACAUGCGUGAACACAUUUCUUUUAUUAUUAGUGAAGAAGAGGAUUUUUGUCUUAAAGAUAGCCGAAAUGAUAUAAUAAUAGUUCAUAAUUGGAGCAACGGGUCAUGCCUUUAUUAUUAGUAUGAUGUUGAUUUAAUCUCUUUAAUUCGCUUGAAAGUUUGCCUAUUAUCCGGAUUUUGAAUCUUGUUUAAAAAUAUUCCCGCAUUGCAAAUUAAGAAACCGAAACUAUCGUUCUAUUAUCCUAUUUGGAAUAAAUAUAUUUUUAGUUUUUUGUAUUAUUUUUGUUGAGAAAAAUAGCUCACAUCGAUUAAGAAUAUUUAUAGAUAUAAUAAUAUGAGCUUGAGAUAACCCUUCACUUAGUUAUAUACGAGUUAGCUGUUAGCCUUUGGGUGUCAAUAAUAUUAUGCUUAAUUAGUUUAGAUACGUAGUUUGAAUAUUCAUUGAUGUGUCACCAAUCGUUUAAUAUCAUGUGAAUGGUGUUAAUUGUUAAUGGUAUUAGCGAGUAUCUAAAGUAAGUAAGCAUAACAUUAAUCUUUAGAGAGAAGUUAGAUUAAUGAGCUCCUAUGUGGUAUCAAAACCAAACUCUUGCACGAGUCCACAAAAUAUUUCCAUCUUACAAUGUCCAAACAAAACUAGAGUUAAGAUAUGAAAAACUACAAGUUGUAGAUCAACUCAUGCGCAAGAUUCACCAUUGCGUCAAUUGAUAUAGAUCCGAUUCUAGAAGACGACGGAUUAAAAGAGUUAUUGACUAUUUCGACAAAUCACUUGAAGGUUUCUCGUGUACACAAAGUUUUUCUCUGCUUCUCCGCAAAGGAUUAAUCAUCUGCCCAAGUACUGACGGCAAUGGAUUAUUCGUAAAUCAAUCUUAAUCAGAUAGCUAUUAUACGUCCCGUUAAUUAUACGACUUAAAUCCAUAUCGAACAUAAUGCAGUUUAUUUAUUUAUUUUGUUUUAAACAGAAUAUAAAAUGCAUGGCUAUAGCUAGCUUAAGCAGCAGGACAAAUAACUUGAUACGAUUCUCAAAUUAAUUCCAUCUAAUAAAAAUAUAAAAUAAUAGAUUUAAUUAAACAUUAAAUUGGAUAAGUUCAAGAAAUUAACCAAGCCUCGAGCUACCAGUUUGAAUUUGCAUGCUGGAGUUGCAAAAUGAAGAUUCUGACGCCGGCGUAAGGAAACAGAAGAAGGUAACACGUGGGCGAGAAACUUGCGUGGGAUUAUUAUAAUUAUCCCUCCCACUUCGGUAUAGCUAUACAGAAUUAAGGUGGCAAGUGGUCCAUUAACAUUUUAUCACGUGACAUAAUAGUAUAUUUUAAUAUAUAUUUUAUCAGUGAUUCUGUACUAGUCGCACUUAAAAAUUUAUCUUAAAUAAACUAAUAAAUCUCCGAGACUCAUUAUUCUACCGCAUAAUAAAAUUUUAAUAGGACAAUUCCACAUAAAUCUUUUUCGGCAAUUAUUAAAUUACAGCUGCAGUGCCGUAACUUAAAAUCCAUUUAAAAAUAUGCAAUAAAUUAUGUCAGAUAAUGUCAUUUUUGCAUGAACUGUAAAUUACAUCAUUAAGACGGACCUAAUUUUCUUGCAUCACUAUCACAUCGCUUAGUAUUUUUUUAUUUAUUUAUUUAUUAAUCAAUUAUAAAGUCCAAUUAUAUAUGGCUCAGAUCCGGCCCCGGCCGACAUCAUUUUUCGAUACAGAAGCAACAACAACUCCCCCACGUGGCAAAUUUUUAUUUAAAGCACGUGAGGAUCAACUCAAACAUCAAACUCAUCUUCUCGAAUCCUGAUCUACGUUUUUUUUUUUUUUUUAAUUUUUUAAUUUUGCUGGUACAUGCGCAUUUUAAAAUAUAAAAUUCAUAUUUUUAAAACAAACGUUUACAUCCAAUUAAAAUUUUAUUUUAAAUUAUGUCGAUAGAGUUAAAAAGUAUCACAGUAUUAUGCGUUUUGAUUAAAUUUACCCGUUGUAAUUCAUUUAGGUUGAUUGAUAGAUUAAUCAGUACAUUGAUAUAACAUCUAAGAUAUAAAAUUCUCAUUUUUUAAAACAAAUUUUUACAUCAAAUUGAAUUUUUAUUUACAUCAACUGAAAGAAAAAAAAAAUCUAUAAAUUAUAUUCAUUGUCCAGAGAUAGCUUUCAAUUCUGAAGCGAUUAUGCAAAAUUUAUACGUAAUAUUGGACAAAAAUUUAACUUGAAUAAUCGAUAUAUUACAAUUCUUUUGGUUCGUGAUAAUGUCUUUUAUCCUUAGACUAAGUCUCUCAAGUUGAUAUGAAAUCAGUGUCCUGCCAAUCACAUAACGCCUUAUCAAUCGCUUCGUGUGGUUCAUGUAGAUGGUGAAGCUUCUUUUUCUCCUCUAAAGUCCUUAUAUAUUUGAUUGACACGAUGCAUGCCCUAAUUUUCUUCCAAAUAUCAUGGCACUAAUCCUAGUUAAUUUCAGCCACUUUUCUUCAAUUUUUAAAAGGGAAAAUAAUAAAUAAAUAGAAUCAUGGCUUGAAUUUCUUUCUUUUCUUUUUUUUUUUUUUUUUUUUUUGAUAGCGUUGGUGUACUGAAAUUGAUUUCAUGAAAGCAUGCGUAUCUCUUGUAUUAAUUAUGUCAAAAAGUCUACACAGUAGACGAGUAUUAUUGCCUUAUCGAUCUUGUGACCGACGGCAAGAGGAGAAUGCCAUACUUUUGAAAGCAAUUCAUAAUAUAUGCUCGGCAUUGAAAGUUAUUUUUUAAACCACUUUAAAAAAUGAAUAAAUAAUUCAAAUAAAUAAAUAAUUAUAGACGUUCGCAUUUCACAAAAUUUAUAGGUGGUUUUGAAGUGUUAUACAAACUUUGGGAGGACAUUUUGACGACAUAUCAUCAUUUCUCAAAUCCGUCCAUACUCGUGCUUCAUUCCGUGUCCCGAAUUAAGUAUGUUGCCUAUUUUGAGCCACAAUUCUUAUAGAAUUAUAAAAGCAACUCACAAUUUUUUUUAAAAAAUUUUAAUUUCCUUUUCCAUGCAUAUUAGUAAUUAAAUUCGCAUACUAUUUACGUGAGCGGAGUUUAAACAUAGGUGGCGUUUGUUUUAUUUGGGUCUGAAAUUUGAAUAGUACUUGAACUAGUCU